Molecule: ribosomal RNA, 253 nt
Filed under: uncultured bacterium
Lineage: Bacteria
Description: partial 16S ribosomal RNA
Rfam family: Bacterial small subunit ribosomal RNA
Source: RNAcentral
UACGUAGGGGGCUAGCGUUGUCCGGAAUCAUUGGGCGUAAAGAGCGUGUAGGCGGCCCGGUAAGUCCGCUGUGAAAGUCGGGGGCUCAACCCUCGAAUGCCGGUGGAUACUGUCGGGCUAGAGUGCGGAAGAGGCGAGUGGAAUUCCUGGUGUAGCGGUGAAAUGCGCAGAUAUCAGGAGGAACACCAGCGGCGAAGGCGGCGCUCUGGGCCGGAACUGACGCUGAGGAGCGAAAGCGUGGGUAGCAAACAGG